GUCUUAUUGAUAAUAAUUUUAAGUCAAUCUGCCCAAUGAAAAUUUUUAAUGGCUGCAGUAUAACUGACUGUACAAAGGUAGCAUAAUCAAUUGGUUUUUAAAUGAAAUCUGGAAUGAAAGGAUUAAUGAAAUAUGUACUGUCUCAUGUGUAUAAUUAUGAAUUUAAAAUUUUAAUAAAAAUGUUAAAAUUUACUUAUGGGACGAUAAGACCCUAUAGAAUUUUAUAUUGAAACUUCUCAGUAGUUAAUACAGAAAAAGUCUCAAUAUUUGGUUGGGAGGACCAUUAAAUUUAAUUAACUUUAAUUUAGAUUAACUUUGAUUUAAGAAUAAAUAAUGAUCUUCAACUUGAAAUUAAUAGAAUAAAUUACCUUAGGGAUAACAGCGUAAUACUUUUCUAUAGGCCACAUAGAAAAAAGUGAUUGCGACCUCGAUGUUGAAUUAGGAUAAAUUUUAAACGCAGGAGUUUAAUAAUUAAGUCUGUUCGACUUUUAACAAUCCUACAUGAUUUGAGUUCAAAUCGACGUAAGU
This 528-nucleotide ribosomal RNA is filed under the name Heterotrigona erythrogastra. RNAcentral's name for it is "partial 16S large subunit ribosomal RNA". It matches the Rfam family "Bacterial large subunit ribosomal RNA", at positions 1881 to 2626 of the family's 2925-position model. Lineage: Eukaryota; Metazoa; Arthropoda; Insecta; Hymenoptera; Apidae. The record is from RNAcentral.